GAGGGAAGACUAGCGAAUUCCAGAGGGACCCUCACCUAUGGCAACUGAGUGCUGAAAUGUGGAGGAAUGGCCUCAGCCCCAGCAUGCCAUAUGGUGAAAUAUCACACCUGAGAAUAGGAGAGAGGCCGAGCUCUGCUCUUGGCUUUUCUUCCUUGUUUCCAAGAUGGCAGCCUUUCCAUUCUCUCUCAUCCUGGGCUUGGUCAUUUGAUCUGCUUUGCCCAAGCAAUAUUUGUUGUUGUAAAAAUAUAAAAAAUAAAAAAAGUAUGGUUGUCUUUUAUCCCCACUAGGUCCGGCAACAUGGUGCCCCAAGAUAUCUGUUAGAUAUCUUAAGUCUCAGUCAGCAAAGUGUCUCACCUGCUCUGCUCCAUCCCGUAUCACACUGCCAAAAGCCUCUCUCUGAGCCGUCAGCAAUCUCUCUACCUAGCUAGUUCCCAAGGCAGGUUUCUAUGCCAGAAACACACAUCCCAAUUCCACAGCGGCCCAGUGUCUCCAGCCACUCCACUGCACACUUUCCUACACUCAAACCGUCACAUAAAGAAACACACAACACAAUAACCUUUGACCCAAUUGAUAAGAUAUAAUUGCCCACCUAAACAUACAAAGCCCAGUACCAUCCAUCCCUUAAGAACAUUAAUAACAACCUGUAAAGGUACAAUGUGGAAUCUUAACGUCACCUGCCAUAUUGUCCUGCCACAGCUUCUCUCCCUGUCCUUCCUGUUUCUUCCCCUUUUCAUUCCAGUUUCCUCCUCUUCCUUCAAACUUCUCUCCCACCCAUCCUUCCAUCUCAUCUAAUGACAGGCCUCUUUCUAUCAUGUACCUGCCCCUCACCUGUGUUUUACAAAUUCAAUGGGGCGAAGGUUCUGGUGAAGUCACCUGAGUCCUGAGUAGUGACUAGGCAGCUGUCCUUGGGGCAGUGGAAUUAGCAUCAAAAUACAGAUAACUCCAGGGCAAACCACAACAAAUAUUUACAAAUGUUUUGUAAUAAUCAAGUUAUUAAGCACCUUUGGGGGUUAGGGCUUAGUUUUGCAUAGUACUCCUGGGAACACUUCCAUGAAAGCAGUCCCAGAAUGGCUUACUGAAUGUCAUUGGACUCCCUAGACAGACGGCCACCAACCAACCACCACAUGUGUGAAGUCCCCUCUGACACAAGUGUCUGAGUAAGUCCAGCUAAGACAACAGAAGAACUGCACAGCUAGCCUUACCCAAUUUGACGACCCACAACUCAGGCAGUAAAUAAGCAGUGCCUAAGCCCCUGUGUUCAGGGCUGGCCUGCUGUAUAUCAGCAGGUAACCGGGAUAGUGGGUAGUGGCACUGUCAGUGAAUAAAGGUCCUGGGUGUUGAGCUCUCCCUGUCAGCCCUUAGAGGAGCAUCUGUGCCUGACAUCACAGCCUGGUUCUUAUGGUGGUUUGAAUAGGAAUGGCCCCCAUGCACUCAUUGGUUUUGAAUACUUGGUGACCAGGGAAUGACACUACUAAGAGGUGUGGUUGGAGGAGGUGUGUUGUGGCCUCUUCUCUCAGCUCCUUCUCCAGCACCAGGUCUGCCUGCACACUGCCAUGAAGGUAUUGACCUAAUCCUCAGAGCUGUGAACCAGCCCCAAUUAAAUGUUUUUAUAAGAGUCUCCAUGGUCGUAGUGUCUCUUCACAGUAACAGAAACCCUACGAUGGAUCCCAUCCACAAAAGUUUCUACAAUAGACUGACGGACUGGGAAGGGACUAUGGCCAAGAAGCCAGCCUAUCUGUGGGUUUUUUUGGGGGUUUGUACCUGAACUCACCCUAGAAAAGGUGAAGAACACUGUAGUCCAUGAUCCCUGUCCUGAUGGUGUUCAGACUAAUGCUCUAGAGAAUUGGGGAAGGGGCGGAAGAAUAAAGUAAUAUGCUACUGAA
Non-coding RNA from Rattus norvegicus (Norway rat), 1883 nucleotides. NCBI's taxonomy places the organism in Eukaryota, Metazoa, Chordata, Mammalia, Rodentia, Muridae. The record is from RefSeq and is a predicted model, not a curated record.